RNAcentral lists this ribosomal RNA (497 nucleotides) under uncultured bacterium. RNAcentral describes it as "partial 16S ribosomal RNA". It matches the Rfam family "Bacterial small subunit ribosomal RNA", at positions 28 to 507 of the family's 1533-position model. The record is from RNAcentral.
GAUGAACGCUGGCGGCGUGCCUAAUACAUGCAAGUCGAGCGAACGGACGAGAAGCUUGCUUCUCUGAUGUUAGCGGCGGACGGGUGAGUAACACGUGGAUAACCUACCUAUAAGACUGGGAUAACUUCGGGAAACCGGAGCUAAUACCGGAUAAUAUUUUGAACCGCAUGGUUCAAAAGUAAAAGACGGUUUUGCUGUCACUUAUAGAUGGAUCCGCGCUGCAUUAGCUAGUUGGUAAGGUAACGGCUUACCAAGGCAACGAUGCAUAGCCGACCUGAGAGGGUGAUCGGCCACACUGGAACUGAGACACGGUCCAGACUCCUACGGGAGGCAGCAGUAGGGAAUCUUCCGCAAUGGGCGAAAGCCUGACGGAGCAACGCCGCGUGAGUGAUGAAGGUCUUCGGAUCGUAAAACUCUGUUAUUAGGGAAGAACAUAUGCGUAAGUAACUGUGCACAUCUUGACGGUACCUAAUCAGAAAGCCACGGCUAACUACGUG